This 452-nucleotide long non-coding RNA is filed under the name Rosa chinensis. Its description in RNAcentral is "sRNA RchiOBHm_Chr6g0262611". Lineage: Eukaryota; Viridiplantae; Streptophyta; Magnoliopsida; Rosales; Rosaceae. The record is from RNAcentral.
CGCCGUCUUCCAGCAGAAACCACCUCGACCUCCACUGACGCCGAACGCCUUCGAAUCUCUCAGCUCGCAGAACGCUUCCUCAACCUCGAGUUGCGCCGCGGCGGACGAGGCUCUGUUCGAUUCGGUCCCCACCGACGAGACCUGAGCGGAGUAACUUGGCUUCGAGCCGUAGCUGACGUUUCGAACCUGAACCGCCGCGUCGAGUUCGAGCUGGUAGUGACCGGACUGCUUUGCCGUGACCGGGUCGGCCUGGUCCCGAUCGAUCGAAACCGGAGCAAUGCAGCAUAGCGGUUUCAUAUUCUCACCACCACCUCACCAUUCAAAUCAACCAAAAAAAACCUCGCCAAUCAAUCUAACUCCCAUCCAACGCCGAUCACCCGGCUCCGAUUAACGGAAAUGUAGCACCGGAUCGGAGUCCAAUGCCCGAAGCCAAAACGCACCGUUUCGAUUCC